Molecule: ribosomal RNA, 111 nt
Filed under: Pteropus alecto (black flying fox)
Lineage: Eukaryota; Metazoa; Chordata; Mammalia; Chiroptera; Pteropodidae
Source: RNAcentral
GCUUAUUAAAAACAUUACCCUGAACACACCCUGAUCUUGGAAGCUAAGCAGGGCCGGGCCUGGUUAGUACUUGGAUGGAAGACCACCGAGGAAGACCAGGUGCUAUAGGCA